AAAUACCAAGGCGAUCGAGUGAACCAUGGUUAAGGAACUCGGCAAAAUGCCCCCGUAACUUCGGGAGAAGGGGGGCCGGAUGCGUUACCUCACUUGCUGGGGGAAGCGUUGAUGGCCGCAGAGACCAGGCCCAAGCGACUGUUUACUAAAAACACAGGUCCGUGCGAAGAAGUAAUUCGAUGUAUACGGACUGACGCCUGCCCGGUGCUGGAACGUUAAGGGGACAGGUUAGCUGGUUUAGGCCGGCGAAGCUUUGAACUUAAGCGCCAGUAAACGGCGGUGGUAACUAUAACCAUCCUAAGGUAGCGAAAUUCCUUGUCGGGUAAGUUCCGACCUGCACGAAUGGCGUAACGACUUGGGCGCUGUCUCAACCAUGGACUCGGCGAAAUUGCAUUACGAGUAAAGAUGCUCGUUACGCGCAGCAGGACGGAAAGACCCCGGGACCUUUACUACAACUUGGUAUUGGUGGUCGGUACAACUUGUGUAGGAUAGGUGGGAGACUGUGAAAUCCGGACGCCAGUUCGGGUGGAGUCAUCGUUGAAAUACCACUCUGGUUGUUCUGGCUGUCUAACUUCGGUCCAUUAUCUGGAUCAGGGACAGUGCCUGGUGGGUAGUUUGACUGGGGCGGUCGCCCCCUAAAAGGUAACGGAGGCGCUCAAAGGUUCCCUCAGCCUGGUUGGCAAUCAGGUGUCGAGUGUAAGUGCACAAGGGAGCUUGACUGUGAGACAGACAUGUCGAGCAGGGACGAAAGUCGGAACUAGUGAUCCGGCGGUGGCAUGUGGGAGCACCGUCGCUCAACGGAUAAAAGGUACCCCGGGGAUAACAGGCUGAUCUUCCCCAAGAGUCCAUAUCGACGGGAUGGUUUGGCACCUCGAUGUCGGCUCGUCGCAUCCUGGGGCUGGAGUAGGUCCCAAGGGUUGGGCUGUUCGCCCAUUAAAGCGGCACGCGAGCUGGGUUUAGAACGUCGAGAGACAGUUCGGUCCCUAUCCGCUGCGCGCGCAGGAGACUUGAGAAGGGCUGCCCCUAGUACGAGAGGACCGGGGUGGACGAACCUCUGGUGUGCCAGUUGUUCCGCCAGGAGCACGGCUGGUUGGCUACGUUCGGGAGUGAUAACCGCUGAAAGCAUCUAAGCGGGAAGCACGCUUCAAGAUGAGGUCUCCCACCGAGUUAAUCGGGUAAGGCCCCCAGUAGACCACUGGGUUGAUAGGCCAGAGGUGGAAGCGCCGUAAGGUGUGGAGCUGACUGGUACUAAUAGGCCGAGGGCUUGUCCC
Molecule: ribosomal RNA, 1271 nt
Filed under: metagenome
Description: bacterial LSU rRNA
Rfam family: Bacterial large subunit ribosomal RNA
Source: RNAcentral